RNAcentral lists this ribosomal RNA (460 nucleotides) under uncultured bacterium. RNAcentral describes it as "partial 16S ribosomal RNA". It matches the Rfam family "Bacterial small subunit ribosomal RNA", at positions 338 to 795 of the family's 1533-position model. The record is from RNAcentral.
CCUACGGGUGGCAGCAGUGAGGAAUAUUGGUCAAUGGGCGGAAGCCUGAACCAGCCAAGUAGCGUGCAGGAUGAAGGCCCUACGGGUUGUAAACUGCUUUUAUACGGGAAUAACGCGCCUUACGUGUAGGGCUUUGCAUGUAACGUAUGAAUAAGGACCGGCUAAUUCCGUGCCAGCAGCCGCGGUAAUAAGGAAGGUCCGGGCGUUAUCCGGAUUGAUUGGGUUUAAAGGGAGCUUAGGCCGCAUGUCAACCGUGCUGUGAAAUGUCCGGGCUCAACCCGGGCCUUGCAGCGCGAACUGGCGUGCGUGAGUCCGCGGAAAGCAGGCGGAAGUCGUCGUGUAGCGGUGAAAUGCUUAGAUAUGACGAAGAACCCCGAUUGCGAAGGCAGCUUGCUGCAGCGGAACUGACGCUGAUGCUCGAAAGCGCGGGUAUCGAACAGGAUUAGAUACCCUAGUAGUC